AAUGGGCGCAAGCCUGAUCCAGCCAUGCCGCGUGAGUGAUGAAGGCCCUAGGGUCGUAAAGCUCUUUCGCCAGGGAUGAUAAUGACAGUACCCAGUAAAGAAACCCCGGCUAACUCCGUGCCAGCAGCCGCGGUAAUACGGAGGGGGUUAGCGUUGUUCGGAAUUACUGGGCGUAAAGCGCGCGUAGGCGGAUCGGAAAGUUGGGGGUGAAAUCCCGGGGCUCAACCUCGGAACUGCCUCCAAAACUAUCGGUCUAGAGUUCGAGAGAGGUGAGUGGAAUUCCGAGUGUAGAGGUGAAAUUCGUAGAUAUUCGGAGGAACACCAGUGGCGAAGGCGGCUCACUGGCUCGAUACUGACGCUGAGGUGCGAAAGUGUGGGGAGCAAACAGGAUU
RNAcentral lists this ribosomal RNA (392 nucleotides) under uncultured Gammaproteobacteria bacterium. Its description in RNAcentral is "bacterial SSU rRNA". It matches the Rfam family "Bacterial small subunit ribosomal RNA", at positions 370 to 779 of the family's 1533-position model. Lineage: Bacteria; Pseudomonadati; Pseudomonadota; Gammaproteobacteria. The record is from RNAcentral.